GACGAACGCUGGCGGCGCGCUUAACACAUGCAAGUCGAACGGAAAGGCCUGCUUUCCCUUGUGGAUUGCGGGUACUCGAGUGGCGAACGGGUGAGUAACACGUGAGUGAUCUGCCCCCAACUUGGGUAUAAGCCUGGGAAACUGGGUCUAAUUCCCGAUAGGACUGCAGGGUGGUGCCUGUGGUGGAAAACGAUUUUCUAGUGGUUGGGGAUGAGCUCGCGGCCUAUCAGCUUGUUGGUGGGGUAAUGGCCUACCAAGGCGGCGACGGGUAGCCGGCCUGAGAGGGUGGACGGCCACAUUGGGACUGAGAUACGGCCCAGACUACUACGGGAGGCAGCAGUGGGGAAUAUAGCACAAUGGGCGGAAGCCUGAUGCAGCGACGCCGCGUGGGGGAUGACGGCCUUCGGGUUGUAAACUCCUUUCGACCGCGAGGAAGCCACCUGGUUGGAAGGGUGGUGACGGUAGUGGUAGAAGAAGCACCGGCUAACUACGU
Molecule: ribosomal RNA, 493 nt
Filed under: uncultured bacterium
Lineage: Bacteria
Description: partial 16S ribosomal RNA
Rfam family: Bacterial small subunit ribosomal RNA
Source: RNAcentral